This 349-nucleotide ribosomal RNA is filed under the name uncultured bacterium. Its description in RNAcentral is "bacterial SSU rRNA". It matches the Rfam family "Bacterial small subunit ribosomal RNA", at positions 452 to 800 of the family's 1533-position model. The record is from RNAcentral.
GACGCCACGCGUGGCGUUCCGAGAGUACCCGAAGAAAAAGCAUCGGCUAACUCCGUGCCAGCAGCCGCGGUAAUACGGAGGAUGCGAGCGUUAUCCGGAUUUAUUGGGUUUAAAGGGUGCGCAGGCGGAAGAUCAAGUCAGCGGUAAAAUUGAGAGGCUCAGCCUCUUCGAGCCGUUGAAACUGGUUUUCUUGAGUGAGCGAGAAGUAUGCGGAAUGCGUGGUGUAGCGGUGAAAUGCAUAGAUAUCACGCAGAACUCCGAUUGCGAAGGCAGCAUACCGGCGCUCAACUGACGCUCAUGCACGAAAGUGUGGGUAUCGAACAGGAUUAGAUACCCUGGUAGUCCACAC